This 2078-nucleotide long non-coding RNA is filed under the name Phascolarctos cinereus (koala). Its description in RNAcentral is "lncRNA (ENSPCIG00000022393.2)". The record is from RNAcentral. Lineage: Eukaryota; Metazoa; Chordata; Mammalia; Diprotodontia; Phascolarctidae.
AUGGAAGUAAAGGAUCUGAUUAUAACCUGUGAAAAUAAGAUGCAGACCGAGCUUGACCCUAUCUACCCCCAGCUGGUGAAACGGUGUAGCCUUCUAUCCUCCCUGGAUCUCCCAGCUAAAAUGGAAUCCAAGGAAGAGCCCAGAAGUUUGAAGGCAAGGAAAGAGCCAGUGAUGGAAGCCUUCUCUUUCUUUUUUAGAUCAGUGUAUCACUUUCAGCCUUCAUUAUUUCCCUCAGGUAAGACAUACCCUCCUCCAGAGGGCCCACCGAGCCCUACUUCCCCCAACAUAGAUGCAUCUACACCUCAGGGGCCCAUCCCAGGGACUAAUAAUAGCUUUCCUCAUUUACACAGCAGCAGCUUACUUGUCUGCUCUUUUACUCCCAAACAUCCAAAAGUCUUUUCUUGAGGGUUUCAAAGAUAUCAGGGCCCUAAAGUAAGUGGCUAGAUUGAAGUUUGGCUGAAAAGGACCCAAGUUAGCCGUGUCCCAGGAUAAACUCCUGAUAAGGUCUGGACUAUGAGACAUCUAGUCUUUUUAACCACACCCCUCGUACCCACAGAGGAGUCAUACAGAAAUAUUAAGUUUGUAUUAAGCGUCUACUCUAUGACCAAACCUGAGGAGGUGGUGCUGGAGAUGAAGCCCUCAAAAAACAUACCGUAUUCAGCUAAGACAAAAGCCCUGCCCUCAUAGAAGGCAUUCAUAGAGUUCAGUCUGGUGACUUUGCUAGGACCCUUUCAUAUGCUGUUUUUUUAAUUUCCCUCUCUCUCCUCCCCACCCCCCACCCCAUUCCCCAGCUAGUCUGUGUCCUCAAUCCAUUCUCACACUGCCUGCUCAUGCACAGGGACUAUACUCUUUCAUCUUCUCCAGCAAGAAAUGCCCACAUCUCCCAAGAACCCCACCAGGUACUUCCCAGAGCAGAGGCACACCUAUUAUGUCCAGGUCCUACCGCCCAAAUCCCCUGUUCAUCCAUAGAGAUCACUUUUCAGCCCAGAGGCGAGCCUAUCAUGACCUACUCUCCACCACCCAACUCCCCCCCUUCUCUGCUCUGAUCCCUCCAGUCUUAACAGUUUCUAUGGGGAAGGGGGGUGGUGUAGUGUGACCUUCCCCAUCUAUUACCACACCACCCCAGAGGUAUUGAUAGGAAACUCCUGUGUCUUAACUUGGGAUGGGCAAGGGAACAUUCAAUAAUCCAGGGACACAAGGAGAUGUCACUUUUCCAGUGACAAAUCCAGUGCUUCCUCCAACCAGAAAGAAGUCCUGGCCUUAAGAGGAAAGACACUGCUGUUCCUCUAUUUCCUUUUCUUCCCAGGUUUCCGAAGAAUCUAAGUAUAAGAAGCUGCAUACCUACCAGAGAUUCGGAGUGUCCCUCUGGAACUAUGUUCCUGCAGGGCCAUUCCAGGCUGACUUUGUACAGUGGGUUAGGCCCUGGGAGACAGGACCAAGGACAGCGGAUGAUGAAGAAUUCAGCUGGACCACAGAUCAGCUUCUGCUUCCCUUGGCAACUGGACAGAUCCAGAAGACAGGAGUCUGCAUCCCAUCCAAACCUAUAGACCAAUAGCCACAAAUCAAAAGAUCUGCCUCCUGUCCUCUGAACCAUUCAGCCAGGACCCGCUCACCUGACCCCUGAGCUCCACUCCCAACCCCAAAGAAGGGUCUAAUACCUGGCUGACCUUCUCCCUUGCCAGCUCUGCCACCUUUGAUGAGUUACUCCUCCCUUGCCUUCUUUCUUAAAUCAAGACCUUCUAUGCAGUGUUCUUGAUGGUCCCUUACUCACCCAUAUCUAUCGGAAGUUUCAUAAUACAGGGACAUGAUUCUUUUAAAGUACUGUGUCCUUGGUGGAUUUUUGGCAAAGCUGUUGGUAAAAUAUCUCACAUUCUUGUGGAGAAGAUGGCAGAUAUGGAAUUGAUGGUCAUUUUCAGAGUUGGUUGGAUGACAAGACACUCAAGGCGUAUUUGGUAAUGGGUUCAAUGUCAGCUUGGUAAGAAAUCUCCAGCAGAGUGUCUCACUGAUCUGUACUGGCCCUCUUUUUUUAAUCAAAAACAAUUUUUUUUUCAAAUAAAAUCUGCCUUUUCUACCUCCCA